GUAUUUCGAAUUAUGUAUUCAAAAAAUUUCAGACAAAAAAUUUCAAUAAAGGGUUGGUAUUAUACUGCCAAGAACGCGCAAAAACGCGAACUCGUCAGCAAACAUUGCACACAAGGUGAAUACUGAUUUUUAAAAAGUGCAGUAAAACACUUAUUAUGAAUGAUCCUUCCGCAGGUUCACCUACGGAAA
Molecule: unclassified non-coding RNA, 189 nt
Filed under: uncultured fungus
Lineage: Eukaryota; Fungi
Description: sequence contains ITS1
Source: RNAcentral